GACGAACGCUGGCGGCGUGCUUAACACAUGCAAGUCGAGCGGGGCCCGCCUUUCGGGGUGGUGUUCUAGCGGCGAACGGGUGAGUAACACGUGGGCAACCUGCCCUCAGCUCUGGGAUAACUCCAAGAAAUUGGGGCUAAUACCGGAUAUGACCGCUGACCGCAUGGUCUGGUGGUGGAAAGAUUUAUCGGCUGGGGAUGGGCCCGCGGCCUAUCAGCUUGUUGGUGGGGUAGUGGCCUACCAAGGCGA
RNAcentral lists this ribosomal RNA (249 nucleotides) under uncultured Geodermatophilaceae bacterium. RNAcentral's name for it is "partial small subunit ribosomal RNA". It matches the Rfam family "Bacterial small subunit ribosomal RNA", at positions 28 to 276 of the family's 1533-position model. The record is from RNAcentral. Lineage: Bacteria; Bacillati; Actinomycetota; Actinomycetes; Geodermatophilales; Geodermatophilaceae.